Non-coding RNA from Drosophila melanogaster (fruit fly), 1712 nucleotides. The record is from Ensembl. Lineage: Eukaryota; Metazoa; Arthropoda; Insecta; Diptera; Drosophilidae.
AAACAACAGGUCGGCAGGCUGCACAAAGUCCGCUCGGUAGAAUCCCUCUAGCGAAUGCAAAGUGGCCACUAGCAGGCACAGUAUUCUCUCCCAGUUGAUCAGCAAGGGACCGAGGGCGCUGAGCGGCUCCAGUGCCGACUGUCUUUGCCAGAUUUCGAGUGUUUGGACUGCCUGUCGAUGCUUGAGAAGCAGUUGUAACUGUGACUGCAGAUGACUCAGAUAGUAGUGAUACUGCCGCUGGAACUGCCUUUGGUUUUGAAGUGUGUAUCCGCCAGAACACAUAAGCAAACGUAGUUGUCUGGGCCACGCUGCUCCCAACUGAAGCUGGAGAAGCGUCUGCGCGUAUGUGCUGGACUGCUGCAGAUGUCGCAUUGGAGGCGCAGGUUGAAGGGAAUGUAUUUGACCCGAGGCAUUGAGCAGUAGUGUAUGGUAGUCGCCGCAAGUCGCCUCAAGCGCCGAGUUUUGUUCUAUGGGUAGUGCUGCCGUGUUUUCCGUAAUUGUGAUCUCCAUGGGCGAGCUGACAUCUUCACCCAACUGAGAGUGGUUGUUCAGGCCCCAGUGGUAGAGCCUUCCGUCCAGAGUGCGGGCCACCGUGUGCUCUAAUCCAGCUGCAAUGCUGCACACGCCCAUGCUGUCUAGUUUCUGCAAGCGCAUCACAUUGGCCCUCCGGAUAUGAUCCCCACUGCCCAGGAGACCAUUAUUGGAGGCUCCGAAUGUGAAAAGUUGGGUGUGGAGCAGAGCGUAUCCUUGGUGAAGAAGGUGCCUUGUGUUAGCCGCAACGCUGCGCUCCGAGUGGCCACUGCUUAUGGAUUUUACAGAGGCCCGUUCAUCCUCGGGUUCUUCCUUCGCACUGGCCACCGACAGCUGGAGUGCAUCGUCGGCCAGGUUGUAGGGAGCUACUAACAUCACAAAGUGCUCGUUUCCGGCUGCUAAGUCCAACAGUUCCUUGCCCUCUUCGUAAAGGCGCAUGUGCCGAGGCUGUUGUUCUGCCUUGAAGACUUCGCCGCAGCUGCCCAUGACAUAGGUCUCCCCACUAGCGCCGACGAAGACAACGCCCUGGGCGGAGCAGCAAACCCGUCGGAUGCGUACGCCCUCAGCAUGCAAUUCGAGAGGGUCGAAACCGAGGGUUUGCCACGCAUGUGGAUGACCCACAUCCCGGCCAGAUCCCGUGGCUUGGCGCUGCACAGAGCCAUUGGUGAGGACUACGAAUAGUUCCUGACUGCCGGAGCAGAAGUCCAUAUCCACAACAUCGGUACGCAGGAGUUGAAGAUCCAUGUGUUCGCGGUUGGCCUGCAGCUUGGCGGAGUAGAGGGCGUGGUCAGUGGUCAGAAGGAGCAGUUCCCCGCCGGCAUUGCUGCAAAUCCGGGAUGCGGGAAACCGCUGCAGGGGCGGCAAUCCGCGCCAGUGAAGCUGUAGCUCCCUGCCUUCAUGAUAGAUGGUGAAGGACUCCCGCUCCUCCUGACCCCCAAGUGCCGAGUCAUCCGCUGCACUGGCCAUGAUGUGCAAAUUUUUGUUGGGGUUUUGGACAGGGCCAAAGCUUUGUAACACGACGCAAUUGCUCGAUUUGUCUGCAGGUCGUUCUCACAUCGUGCACGUGCUCCGGUCCACGCUAGGCACUACUGGCACCAACGAACAUCAUAUAACUUGAUUCGGAAUGCAACUCUAGCUGCCACGAUAAAAUAAAUUCUGUUUUCACUUGUUCUUAACUGGCU